ACGUAGGGGGCAAGCGUUAUCCGGAAUUAUUGGGCGUAAAGAGUGAGUAGGUGGUUUUGUAAGCGCGGGGUGAAAGGCAAUGGCUCAACUAUUGUAAGCCCUGCGAACUGCAAGACUUGAGUGCAGGAGAGGAAAGUGGAAUUCCUAGUGUGUCAGUGAAAUGCGUGGAUAUGAGGAGGAGCAAUAGAGGCGUAGGCGACUUUCUGGAUUGUAUCCGAUUGUGGGGCAUGUAAGCGUGGUAAGCGGAGUG
RNAcentral lists this ribosomal RNA (250 nucleotides) under uncultured prokaryote. RNAcentral describes it as "partial 16S rRNA". It matches the Rfam family "Bacterial small subunit ribosomal RNA", at positions 525 to 775 of the family's 1533-position model. The record is from RNAcentral.